CUGUGAGGUGAAUGGCAACCUCCUGGAGAAGACCUGGCUGCAGAUGAGCACUGAGUUGUGGUUCACUGAGAAGRGCUCCCAAGAAGAUCUGUGGCUGAGGACAGCGCCUCRUUUUCCACAUGUGAUUGAAGCAGAGCCAGAAGACAUCAGCUGCAGGUAUCUGCUGAAGCUGCCAGCACUCCAGCGCCAGGAUGGUUUAUGAAGAAUAAAAUUAUUAAAUGAUGCUGUCGUCCCUGUGGUCUGCGGCUCCAGGCAGAACCCUGUAAAAGCUGUGAAUGAGCAUGUCAGC
This is a long non-coding RNA of Nothoprocta perdicaria, 289 nucleotides long. RefSeq lists it as uncharacterized. Lineage: Eukaryota; Metazoa; Chordata; Aves; Tinamiformes; Tinamidae. The record is from RefSeq and is a predicted model, not a curated record. The transcript has 2 exons.